Molecule: ribosomal RNA, 175 nt
Filed under: uncultured Gardnerella sp.
Lineage: Bacteria; Bacillati; Actinomycetota; Actinomycetes; Bifidobacteriales; Bifidobacteriaceae
Description: partial 16S ribosomal RNA
Rfam family: Bacterial small subunit ribosomal RNA
Source: RNAcentral
UACGGGAGGCAGCAGUGGGGAAUAUUGCGCAAUGGGGGAAACCCUGACGCAGCGACGCCGCGUGCGGGAUGAAGGCCUUCGGGUUGUAAACCGCUUUUGAUUGGGAGCAAGCCUUUUUGGUGAGUGUACCUUUCGAAUAAGCGCCGGCUAACUACGUGCCAGCAGCCGCGGUAAU